RNAcentral lists this small nuclear RNA (24 nucleotides) under Arabidopsis thaliana (thale cress). RNAcentral's name for it is "snRNA_11004". Lineage: Eukaryota; Viridiplantae; Streptophyta; Magnoliopsida; Brassicales; Brassicaceae. The record is from RNAcentral.
AAACCUAGGGCGCGAGCCCGGGCG